RNAcentral lists this transfer RNA (69 nucleotides) under Ictidomys tridecemlineatus (thirteen-lined ground squirrel). Its description in RNAcentral is "Spermophilus tridecemlineatus (thirteen-lined ground squirrel) tRNA". It matches the Rfam family "tRNA". Rfam says of the family: Transfer RNA (tRNA) molecules are approximately 80 nucleotides in length. Their secondary structure includes four short double-helical elements and three loops (D, anti-codon, and T loops). Lineage: Eukaryota; Metazoa; Chordata; Mammalia; Rodentia; Sciuridae. The record is from Rfam by way of RNAcentral.
GGGGUUGUGGCUCAGUGGUAGAGCACAUGCCUGUCAUGUGUGAGGCACUGGAUUCUAUCCUCAGCACCG